Molecule: non-coding RNA, 122 nt
Filed under: Tupaia belangeri chinensis (Chinese tree shrew)
Lineage: Eukaryota; Metazoa; Chordata; Mammalia; Scandentia; Tupaiidae
Source: RNAcentral
GUGUUGUAUGAAAGGAGAGAAGGUUAGCACUCCCCUUGACAAGGAUGGACGAGGCCCUCAGGCCUGACAACACACAUACAGUUAAGGCAUUGCACCUACUUCGUGGCAUGUAACCAAUGUUU